This 1372-nucleotide ribosomal RNA is filed under the name uncultured bacterium. Its description in RNAcentral is "bacterial SSU rRNA". It matches the Rfam family "Bacterial small subunit ribosomal RNA", at positions 28 to 1381 of the family's 1533-position model. The record is from RNAcentral.
GAUGAACGCUGGCGGCGUGCCUAAUACAUGCAAGUCGAGCGAACGGACGAGAAGCUUGCUUCUCUGAUGUUAGCGGCGGACGGGUGAGUAACACGUGGAUAACCUACCUAUAAGACUGGGAUAACUUCGGGAAACCGGAGCUAAUACCGGAUAAUAUUUUGAACCGCAUGGUUCAAAAGUGAAAGACGGUCUUGCUGUCACUUAUAGAUGGAUCCGCGCUGCAUUAGCUAGUUGGUAAGGUAACGGCUUACCAAGGCAACGAUGCAUAGCCGACCUGAGAGGGUGAUCGGCCACACUGGAACUGAGACACGGUCCAGACUCCUACGGGAGGCAGCAGUAGGGAAUCUUCCGCAAUGGGCGAAAGCCUGACGGAGCAACGCCGCGUGAGUGAUGAAGGUCUUCGGAUCGUAAAACUCUGUUAUUAGGGAAGAACAUAUGUGUAAGUAACUGUGCACAUCUUGACGGUACCUAAUCAGAAAGCCACGGCUAACUACGUGCCAGCAGCCGCGGUAAUACGUAGGUGGCAAGCGUUAUCCGGAAUUAUUGGGCGUAAAGCGCGCGUAGGCGGUUUUUUAAGUCUGAUGUGAAAGCCCACGGCUCAACCGUGGAGGGUCAUUGGAAACUGGAAAACUUGAGUGCAGAAGAGGAAAGUGGAAUUCCAUGUGUAGCGGUGAAAUGCGCAGAGAUAUGGAGGAACACCAGUGGCGAAGGCGACUUUCUGGUCUGUAACUGACGCUGAUGUGCGAAAGCGUGGGGAUCAAACAGGAUUAGAUACCCUGGUAGUCCACGCCGUAAACGAUGAGUGCUAAGUGUUAGGGGGUUUCCGCCCCUUAGUGCUGCAGCUAACACAUUAAGCACUCCGCCUGGGGAGUACGACCGCAAGGUUGAAACUCAAAGGAAUUGACGGGGACCCGCACAAGCGGUGGAGCAUGUGGUUUAAUUCGAAGCAACGCGAAGAACCUUACCAAAUCUUGACAUCCUUUGACAACUCUAGAGAUAGAGCUUUCCCCUUCGGGGGACAAAGUGACAGGUGGUGCAUGGUUGUCGUCAGCUCGUGUCGUGAGAUGUUGGGUUAAGUCCCGCAACGAGCGCAACCCUUAAGCUUAGUUGCCAUCAUUAAGUUGGGCACUCUAAGUUGACUGCCGGUGACAAACCGGAGGAAGGUGGGGAUGACGUCAAAUCAUCAUGCCCCUUAUGAUUUGGGCUACACACGUGCUACAAUGGACAAUACAAAGGGCAGCGAAACCGUGAGGUCAAGCAAAUCCCAUAAAGUUGUUCUCAGUUCGGAUUGUAGUCUGCAACUCGACUACAUGAAGCUGGAAUCGCUAGUAAUCGUAGAUCAGCAUGCUACGGUGAAUACGUUCCCGGGUCU